Long non-coding RNA from Neoarius graeffei (lesser salmon catfish), 651 nucleotides. RefSeq lists it as uncharacterized. NCBI's taxonomy places the organism in Eukaryota, Metazoa, Chordata, Actinopteri, Siluriformes, Ariidae. The record is from RefSeq and is a predicted model, not a curated record. The transcript has 2 exons.
CCCCCGCGACACCGCGCCCCGGACACACACGCCUCAAGAUUACUCAAGAUUUAUUCAUUUGUUCAUGUCUGAUGAAUAUACAUUGAUUCACAUUUAAAUUUACAAUAUCAAAUCCAGACUAAUCAAAAAAGAAAAGUAGACUAAGUGAGGACGAGUUAGAAAAACGGGUUCAUUUCUCCUAUGUUUAUGUUUACACGUUUUGUUCAGGCUGCUUUACACCCCAAUCCAGUGGGUGGCGGUAAUGCCCCCAUUAGACCCCUUUCACUGACGUCACCCGAAACCGGAAGUAAACAAACCCUGCGCCACAUUGGAAGACCAACAAACUCGUGAUUUGGGGGAAAUAACGGCAGCGCGCGGUAUGUGAACCCACGAGGCACUUGGUUCAUCAUAAACCUACAAUGGUAAACUUUUGUGCUGUGUUAGGGUUCUAACAAAGCUGAUGGGAAAGGGGAAAAGAAGUCUUUCUACAGAAUACCAGCUGUGAUUGAGACAACAAGCAAACCAAGGAGCUUUCUGCCGGGAGACAGAGAGAGGAUUUAGCUGCUUUAUGCAGAGCGGAUCUGAAUACUUCAAGUCUAUUUUGUUACUGGUGUCUGCGCCGCUGGAGGAAUAGGCCACAAUUAUAAAUAAAUCAUAAAAUGUUUCUAAGAA